ACUCAAAUGAAUUGACGGGAAUCCACACAAGCGGUGGAGCAUGUGGUUUAAUGCGAUGCAACGCGCAAAACCUUACCAGCUCUUGCAUAUUAGAUGAAUUGAUUUUAAUUAAUUUAUUCAAAAAAAAUCUAUUACAGGUGUUGCAUGGCUGUCGUCAGCUCGUGUCGUGAGAUGUAGGGUUAGGUCCUAUAACGAGCGCAACCCUUAUGUUUACUUGCCAACGGAAUCCUAAAAUAGCAAUAUUUUUUAAAAAUCCGGGAACUUUAAACAGACUGCCUGUGAUAAACAGGAGGAAGGUGAGGAUGACGUCAAGCCCUCAUGACCCUUAUGAGCUGGGCUACACACGUGCUACAAUGGUAAUUACAAUGGGAAGCAAUAUUGUAAAAUGGAGCAAAUCCUUAAAAAUUAUCUCAGUUCAGAUUGUUCUCUGCAACUCGAGAACAUGAAGUUGGAAUCGCUAGUAAUCGUGGAUCAGCACGCCACGGUGAAUAUGUUCUUGGGUUUUGUACACACCGCCCGU
This 520-nucleotide ribosomal RNA is filed under the name uncultured bacterium. RNAcentral describes it as "partial 16S ribosomal RNA". It matches the Rfam family "Bacterial small subunit ribosomal RNA", at positions 899 to 1397 of the family's 1533-position model. The record is from RNAcentral.